UUCUUCCCUUUACUCAGCAAACACGCUGAAACAACAUCCAUGGUGAAAGGGAAGAAGACAUAAACUUAACACCACCUUCAAACCACCACAACUUCCUACUCUGGGCUCCGAUCGCUGCACCGUUUGUGGCCACGUGACCACCCUGUCGAGCUCUACGAUUCUAUCGGAACAAUUUCAUAGAUAAGUCACUCUAUUACUCUCAGCUUCUCCUUCUCCCAAUUUUUCGAAAUUAUGUAAGUGGUGUUGAAUUUUUACCACUUUGAUGUAUUAGGAUCCGAUUAGCUUGAGAAAAACAUUCACUCUUGCUUAUACGACGCUUGGGUAAGAUGCAACUCGAGAGGCUCCUUGCUAGGCGUCUGGACUUCUGAAGCGGAGUAGUCUCUGGGUUUUAUUUUGAUGUACAGUUUUGAAUAUAUAUGUACUUAGUUUCCUCUUCAAGAAACUUGUUUAUUUUGUCCCUCUUAGAGGUUUGAGGAGAGAUGGAGGUUUUACUCUAUAUUUUGGGUAUUUUGGGACAUGUAUAUAUGUAUGUAAAUACUCUCCGGCCAACCUCAGCUCCGCAAGCUGAGCUAGGAGCUUGUUAUAUCGUUCUCUUGACUCUCUAUUCCUGUUUCCUAUUUAUUUAUGCUUUUAAACUUUA
Non-coding RNA from Arachis ipaensis, 640 nucleotides. The record is from RefSeq and is a predicted model, not a curated record. Lineage: Eukaryota; Viridiplantae; Streptophyta; Magnoliopsida; Fabales; Fabaceae.